UCUGAGGACCCCACCCAGAACUCCUCGCUGUCCUGGAGAAGAGGCCUGAACUGCAGAGACCCACGCAGGUGACCCCAGUCCGGGGCCUCAGGACCCAGGUGAGGAUCCGAGGACUCCGCUCUCACCUGCGGCGUAAUCACUAGCGCUGCCUCGGCCAUGGGACUUUAGGCGGGGCGGGGCCUGGAAAGGCGGGCGGUAAAGCCCGGGAUCCGGCGUGCGUGCGGUGGCAAAUCGCUGGGCGACGCUCAGACCGAGACCAGGCAAGCUCCUCUGCGGGCGGACACCACCUCCACCGGUUUCCGGCUCCAGUUACCUGGCCCGGACCCAGCGAGCCGGAAACGCCCAGCCCGCGGACGCGCUCGCAGGCAGCAAAAACGACCACCACCGGAAAGACGCCGGAAGAUUCUGGCGUAUUGCGCACUUACGGAGGUGCCCCUUUCCUGGGCAAUGAUUGGUCUAAGGCCCCGGCACGCUCGGCGCACAGUAUUCUGGGUGGUGUAGUUCCUACCACGCCGCAGUCCGCCGCGCUGUGAGGACUCAAUCCAAGAAAGAGAGGACAAAGGAAAAAACCCAUCAAACUAGGGUCAGCAAAGCCUAUUACAUACACAGGAUAAAAGAAUACGAUUUGAUCUUCAUUUCUCAACACAAAAGUUGACAUAUAUUGCAUACAA
This 671-nucleotide long non-coding RNA is filed under the name Homo sapiens (human). RNAcentral's name for it is "non-protein coding lnc-ZNF550-3:1". Lineage: Eukaryota; Metazoa; Chordata; Mammalia; Primates; Hominidae. The record is from RNAcentral.